GCCCAGGUGGCGGAACUGGUAGACGCGCCAGCUUCAGGUGCUGGUUUCUGAAAGGAAGUGGAGGUUCGAGUCCUCUCCUGGGCACCA
This 87-nucleotide transfer RNA is filed under the name Alphaproteobacteria bacterium. RNAcentral describes it as "tRNA-Leu". It matches the Rfam family "tRNA". From Rfam's summary of the family: Transfer RNA (tRNA) molecules are approximately 80 nucleotides in length. Lineage: Bacteria; Pseudomonadati; Pseudomonadota; Alphaproteobacteria. RNAcentral also lists the same sequence under 2 other names. The record is from RNAcentral.